This is a long non-coding RNA of Ipomoea nil (Japanese morning glory), 261 nucleotides long. RefSeq lists it as uncharacterized. NCBI's taxonomy places the organism in Eukaryota, Viridiplantae, Streptophyta, Magnoliopsida, Solanales, Convolvulaceae. The record is from RefSeq and is a predicted model, not a curated record. The transcript is spliced from 3 exons.
ACAGUACUGUGUCUUUUCCUAAAUACCUUGACAUAAUUACAGAUUGCACCAAUUUAUCUGACAUCACGUAUGAAGCUUGGAAUCAGCUUGUUGGAAAAUCUAUUGUACAAACAGCCUGUACAACAGCACCAAGUUCUACUGAAGAGCAUGGACAUCUAUCGUCUGUAUGAACUUAACACUGUCUCUUCAAACAUUAUGAGGAUUGAUGGAGUCCACCACGGGAAACAUGGAAAGAAAGGCUCUGUAGUUUUCUGGUUUCAG